Molecule: non-coding RNA, 19 nt
Filed under: Arabidopsis thaliana (thale cress)
Lineage: Eukaryota; Viridiplantae; Streptophyta; Magnoliopsida; Brassicales; Brassicaceae
Source: RNAcentral
GGACGUGGCGGUUGACGGC